CCUACGGGUGGCAGCAGUGGGGAAUAUUGCACAAUGGGCGAAACCCUGAUGCAGCAACGCCGCGUGAGUGAAGAAGUAUUUCGGUUUGUAAACCUCUGUCCUCUAUGAAGAUGAUGACGGUAGCAGAGGAGGAAGCUCCGGCUAACUACGUGCCAGCAGCCGCGGUAAUACGUAGGGGGCGAGCGUUGUCCGGAUUUACUGGGGGUAAAGGGUGCGUAGGUGGGUUGGCAAGUCAGUAGUGAAAACCAUGGGCUUAACCCAUGAAAUGCUAUUGAACCUGUGGAGCUUGAGUGAAGUAGAGGAAGGUGGAAUUCCCGGUGUAGCGGUGAAAUGCGUAGAGAUCGGGAGGAACACCAGUGGCGAAGGCGGCCAUCUGGGAUAUAACUGACGCUGAGGAACGAAAGCGUGGGUAGCAAACAGGAUUAGAUACCCGAGUAGUC
Molecule: ribosomal RNA, 440 nt
Filed under: uncultured bacterium
Lineage: Bacteria
Description: partial 16S ribosomal RNA
Rfam family: Bacterial small subunit ribosomal RNA
Source: RNAcentral